UACGGAGGGUGCGAGCGUUAAUCGGAAUUACUGGGCGUAAAGCGCACGCAGGCGGUCUGUUAAGCAAGAUGUGAAAGCCCCGGGCUCAACCUGGGAACUGCAUUUUGAACUGGCAGGCUAGAGUCUUGGAGAGGGGAGUGGAAUUCCAGGUGUAGCGGUGAAAUGCGUAGAGAUCUGGAGGAACAUCAGUGGCGAAGGCGGCUCCCUGGGCCAAAAGACCUGACGCUCAUGUGCGAAAGUGUGGGUAGCGAAACAGGAUUUAGAUACCCCGGUAGUCC
This 278-nucleotide ribosomal RNA is filed under the name uncultured bacterium. RNAcentral describes it as "partial 16S ribosomal RNA". It matches the Rfam family "Bacterial small subunit ribosomal RNA", at positions 524 to 796 of the family's 1533-position model. The record is from RNAcentral.